This 1915-nucleotide long non-coding RNA is filed under the name Brassica napus (rape). RNAcentral describes it as "long non-coding RNA (BNAP_LNC003838)". The record is from RNAcentral. Lineage: Eukaryota; Viridiplantae; Streptophyta; Magnoliopsida; Brassicales; Brassicaceae.
AAAGAGAGAGUUAAGAAGGGUGACUUGCGGAACACGAAAGCGUAUCUCCACAUCAAACCAAUGCUCGGAGCAACGUUCACCGACAUAGCCAUCUGGCUAUUCUACCCUUUCAAUGGUCCCGCACGUGCCAAAGUCAAGUUCAUCAACCUCCCGUUAGGGAGGAUCGGCGAACACAUUGGUGAUUGGGAACACGUGACGUUACGUAUAAGCAACUUCACCGGAGAGCUAUGGAGAGUGUUCUUGUCUCAGCACAGCGGAGGAGUUUGGCUCGACGCUUGUGACCUAGAACCCAUGACUUCAAGUUUCUACUGUUAGACCAUUUCAAAUCAAUCUCCCCAUCUCAAAAUGGGAAACUGUCUUUCAAUCACGGAUCCUUCUCCCGAAGCUGUAUCAGAGAAGAUUCUCAAAGCACUUCCCGUGGAAACUCCUUUCAAGUUUCCCUCACCACUGCCUACUUUGCCUCAAGGUUUGUACUAUAUAUGGUUCUUGUCCAUCUCUUGUGAGAAUAUAAAACUUCUACAGAGUUUCGAGGAAACAUGAAUAAUAUAAAAGACUUGGAUCAGUCCAGCCAGUUGGUUUUAAGUUGAAAAUUCGUAAAACUUAACAUUUAUUGGUUUGAUGAUUUUUAUUUGACUUGAAUCUUCAGGUAACGGGUUUGCAAAACGAACCAUUGACUUGGGAGGUCUUGAGGUUAGCCAAGUUUCGACAUUCAACAAGGUCUGGUCCACUUAUGAAGGUGGACCAGACAACCUCGGAGCAACCUUCUUUGAACCAUUAUCGGUCCCUUCCGGUUUCUCCAUCCUCGGUUACUACGCUCAACCAAACAACCAUCAACUAUUCGGAUGGGUACUCACAGCUAGGGAUCUCUCAAGCGACACCUUGAAAUCGCCUCUAGAUUACACCCUCGUAGCAAACACCGAGUCACUCAAGAUCAAACAAGACGGACCUGGAUACAUCUGGCAGCCCGUGCCGCCUGAUGGAUCCCAAGCCGUUGGUUUAUUAGUCACAACCACCUCUCAAAAGCCUCCUCUAGACAAACUACGUUGUGUUAGGUCAGACUUAACCGAACAGUGUGAAGCUGACACAUGGAUAUGGGGAAUUAACGGAGUCAACGUCUCAAACCUAAGACCGAACAUUAGAGGGACACAAGCUACAGGAGUCUGUGUCGGAACAUUCACAUGGCAACCUCAAAACUCAUCUCCUCCAUCUUUAGCUUGCUUGAAGAACACGAAACUAAACUUCUCUACCAUGCCAAACGGGUCCCAAAUCGGUGUCUUGUUCAACACGUAUUCUCCAUUGAUCCAUCUCCACCCAGACGAAGAAUACCUACCUUCCUCUGUCAACUGGUACUUCAGCAACGGUGCCUUGCUUUACAAGCAAGGUCAAGAAUCAAACCCUAACCCUAUCGAAUCCAACGGAGCAAACCUUCCACAAGGCGGAUCUAACGACGGUUCAUACUGGCUAGACCUGCCUAGAGACAAGAAGGCCAAAGAGAGAGUUAAGAAGGGUGACUUGCGGAACACGAAAGCGUAUCUCCACAUCAAACCAAUGCUCGGAGCAACGUUCACCGACAUAGCCAUCUGGCUAUUCUACCCUUUCAAUGGUCCCGCACGUGCCAAAGUCAAGUUCAUCAACCUCCCGUUAGGGAGGAUCGGCGAACACAUUGGUGAUUGGGAACACGUGACGUUACGUAUAAGCAACUUCACCGGAGAGCUAUGGAGAGUGUUCUUGUCUCAGCACAGCGGAGGAGUUUGGCUCGACGCUUGUGACCUAGAGUUCCAAGGAGGAGGAAGCAACAAGCCUGUGGCGUACGCGUCGCUUCACGGACACGCAAUGUAUGCUAAACCUGGACUUGUGUUGCAAGGAGACGGUGAUGUUGGGAUAAGGAACGAUACGGCGAAGAGUAAGAAGGUGG